RNAcentral lists this ribosomal RNA (373 nucleotides) under uncultured organism. RNAcentral's name for it is "partial 16S ribosomal RNA". It matches the Rfam family "Bacterial small subunit ribosomal RNA", at positions 527 to 896 of the family's 1533-position model. The record is from RNAcentral.
GUAGGUGGCAAGCGUUGUCCGGAAUUAUUGGGGCGCAAAGCGCGCGCAGGCGGUUUUUAAGUCUGAUGUGAAAGCCCACGGGCUCAACCGUGGAGGGUCAUUGGAAACUGGAGAACUUGAGUACAGAAGAGGAAAGCGGAAUUCCACGUGUAGCGGUGAAAUGCGUAGAGAUGUGGAGGAACACCAGUGGCGAAGGCGGCUUUCUGGUCUGUAACUGACGCUGAGGCGCGAAAGCGUGGGGAGCAAACAGGAUUAGAUACCCUGGUAGUCCACGCCGUAAACGAUGAGUGCUAAGUGUUAGGGGGUUUCCGCCCCUUAGUGCUGCAGCUAACGCAUUAAGCACUCCGCCUGGGGAGUACGGCCGCAAAGGCUG